RNAcentral lists this ribosomal RNA (1019 nucleotides) under uncultured bacterium. RNAcentral's name for it is "bacterial SSU rRNA". It matches the Rfam family "Bacterial small subunit ribosomal RNA", at positions 355 to 1375 of the family's 1533-position model. The record is from RNAcentral.
UGAGGAAUAUUGGUCAAUGGGCGUAAGCCUGAACCAGCCAAGUAGCGUGAGGGAAGACUGCCCUAUGGGUUGUAAACCUCUUUUGUGCGGGGAUAAAGUGUGGGACGUGUCCCAUAUUGCAGGUACCGCACGAAUAAGGACCGGCUAAUUCCGUGCCAGCAGCCGCGGUAAUACGGAAGGUCCGGGCGUUAUCCGGAUUUAUUGGGUUUAAAGGGAGCGCAGGCCGUCCUUUAAGCGUGCUGUGAAAUGCCGCGGCUCAACCGUGGCACUGCAGCGCGAACUGGAGGACUUGAGUACGCACGAGGUAGGCGGAAUUCGUGGUGUAGCGGUGAAAUGCUUAGAUAUCACGAAGAACUCCGAUUGCGAAGGCAGCUUACCGGAGCGCAACUGACGCUGAGGCUCGAAAGCGCGGGUAUCGAACAGGAUUAGAUACCCUGGUAGUCCGCGCGGUAAACGAUGGAUGCCCGCCGUUGGGAUUUAGAUUUCAGCGGCCAAGCGAAAGCGUUAAGCAUCCCACCUGGGGAGUACGCCGGCAACGGUGAAACUCAAAGGAAUUGACGGGGGCCCGCACAAGCGGAGGAACAUGUGGUUUAAUUCGAUGAUACGCGAGGAACCUUACCCGGGCUUGAAUUGCAGGAGAACGAUCCAGAGAUGGUGAGGCCCUUCGGGGCUCCUGUGAAGGUGCUGCAUGGUCGUCGUCAGCUCGUGCCGUGAGGUGUCGGCUCAAGUGCCAUAACGAGCGCAACCCCUGUCCAUAGUUGCCAUCAGGUCGUGCUGGGCACUCUGUGGAGACUGCCGCCGUAAGGUGUGAGGAAGGUGGGGAUGACGUCAAAUCAGCACGGCCCUUACGUCCGGGGCUACACACGUGUUACAAUGGGGCAUACAGCGAGUUGGAUGUGCGCAAGUACGUCCGGAUCAAUAAAGUGCCUCUCAGUUCGGACUGGGGUCUGCAACCCGACCCCACGAAGCUGGAUUCGCUAGUAAUCGCGCAUCAGCCAUGGCGCGGUGAAUACGUUCCC